Molecule: ribosomal RNA, 468 nt
Filed under: uncultured bacterium
Lineage: Bacteria
Description: partial 16S ribosomal RNA
Rfam family: Bacterial small subunit ribosomal RNA
Source: RNAcentral
GACGAACGCUGGCGGCGUGCUUAACACAUGCAAGUCGAACGGAAAGGCCCUGCUUUUGUGGGGUGCUCGAGUGGCGAACGGGUGUGUAACACGCGAGUAACCUGCCCUUGACUUUGGGAUAACUUCAGGAAACUGGGGCUAAUACCGGAUAGGAGCUCCUGCUGCAUGGUGGGGGUUGGAAAGUUUCGGCGGUUGGGGAUGGACUCGCGGCUUAUCAGCUUGUUGGUGGGGUAGUGGCUUACCAAGGCUUUGACGGGUAGCCGGCCUGAGAGGGUGACCGGCAACAUUGGGACUGAGAUACGGCCCAGACUGCUACGGGAGGCAGCAGUGGGGAAUAUUGCACAAUGGGCGGAAGCCUGAUGCAGCAACGCCGCGUGCGGGAUGACGGCCUUCGGGUUGUAAACCGCUUUCGCCUGUGACGAAGCGUGAGUGACGGUAAUGGGUAAAGAAGCACCGGCUAACUACGUG